CGGAGGAUCCAAGCGUUAUCCGGAAUCAUUGGGUUUAAAGGGUCCGUAGGCGGGUUUAUAAGUCAGUGGUGAAAGCCCAUCGCUCAACGAUGGAACGGCCAUUGAUACUGUAGAUCUUGAAUUAUUAGGAAGUAACUAGAAUAUGUAGUGUAGCGGUGAAAUGCUUAGAGAUUACAUGGAAUACCAAUUGCGAAGGCAGGUUACUACUAAUGGAUUGACGCUGAUGGACGAAAGCGUGGGUAGCGAACAGGAUUAGAUACCCUGGUAGUCCACGCCGUAAACGAUGGAUACUAGCUGUUCCGAGCAAUCUGAGUGGCUAAGCGAAAGUGAUAAGUAUCCCACCUGGGGAGUACGUUCGCAAGAAUG
This 366-nucleotide ribosomal RNA is filed under the name uncultured organism. RNAcentral's name for it is "bacterial SSU rRNA". It matches the Rfam family "Bacterial small subunit ribosomal RNA", at positions 526 to 896 of the family's 1533-position model. The record is from RNAcentral.